Long non-coding RNA from Homo sapiens (human), 400 nucleotides. Ensembl annotates it as deleted in lymphocytic leukemia 1. Its record names the gene DLEU1. Lineage: Eukaryota; Metazoa; Chordata; Mammalia; Primates; Hominidae. The record is from Ensembl.
UCUUUAGGUACCCUAAUGACAAGUUCACCCCAGUGUUUUCUGAGGAGUCUACCUGGAAAUGAGAACCAUCUGUCCUUCCUAUAGUAGUUCUUCUCAGAAUGCCGACUCUAUGCUAAUGGAAAGAAGUGAGAUGAUGAUGGCUCUGUCUCAGCAGCUCUCGGGGGGACCUGCAGGCUGGGGAGGCAGCUUCUCUCUGCAAUUUGGCCGCUCCUGGACUUGUUGCAGCCAGGCUUCAAAGAGAAACCACCGCUUCCUCCCCGAGCCCCACGCCAGCCUCAGAGGCAGCUGGGCCUAUUGAAACAUUCAAGUUUCACUUCAGGCUACUUUAAACAUUUGCUUUAUUCCAAAACAGCUAAACUUGGAGUUAUUUUCAAAUAUAGGCCAUUUUUAUGCCCCAGUA